This 539-nucleotide long non-coding RNA is filed under the name Homo sapiens (human). RNAcentral's name for it is "non-protein coding lnc-GNL2-3:1". Lineage: Eukaryota; Metazoa; Chordata; Mammalia; Primates; Hominidae. The record is from RNAcentral.
ACACGUGGUCCGGCGUGGUUCAGGCGGGUGUCUUCGGCCGGGCUUGGGAACAUAAAAGUUUGUUUCACCACGUAAGCCGGACCUCGCACUCCGGUCCCGGUCUCGUCGCCAAGAUGGUGAAGCCCAAGUACAAAGGACGGAGCACCAUCAACCCGUCCAAGGCCAGCACAAACCCAGAUCGAGUGCAGGGAGCAGGAGGCCAAAACAUGAGGGACCGGGCCACCAUCCGGCGCCUGAAUAUGUAUAGGCAAAAGGAGCGCAGGUGAGCACUGGGUGCUGUCAUCCUUUCUCUUUUCCUUCAUGCCCUUGACUGCUAGCUGAGACUGAUGAAGCCUUUGCUGUUCUCACCCCCACUUCCUCCAAAUAGGAGUUAUAUAUUCUCAAAUAUAAUUGUACGUGAGUGUCGUUAGGAUAAAGUGUUAACUUUUGGUUAAGGACAUGGGUAGCUGGCGGUGAAAUAGUGAUGGUUUCACAAUACUCAAAAGUAGAGGUCUUGUUUCUCACAGCCCUGACCUCCACAAAUGGCGCAUUAAAUCUCA